GGCUUGAUGACGCCGAGAUGAAAUCAGAGACAGGUUCGCCGCGGGACCAGCCCCCUCCCCAUUACUGAUCCAGCCCAACCCCAGCCGCCUACCGGCCCGCGCAAUUAAUGUGCAGGCGUGGAGGCUGCGGGCAAAAAAAUUGGUAAUUCCGUCACAGAUAUGUAUGGUCCCGCCUGAGGAAAAAUCGGGGAGGACAAUAACAAUGCGUAAAAUUGCAAUUCUCGCAGGCG
Molecule: unclassified non-coding RNA, 230 nt
Filed under: Hevea brasiliensis (rubber tree)
Lineage: Eukaryota; Viridiplantae; Streptophyta; Magnoliopsida; Malpighiales; Euphorbiaceae
Source: RNAcentral